This 1310-nucleotide ribosomal RNA is filed under the name metagenome. Its description in RNAcentral is "bacterial LSU rRNA". It matches the Rfam family "Bacterial large subunit ribosomal RNA", at positions 1602 to 2925 of the family's 2925-position model. The record is from RNAcentral.
AUGCUUCCAAAAAGCCCUAUACCCGUUAAGGCAUCAUGGCCUGUACCCGAAACCGACACAGGUGGGGUGGUAGAGAAUACCGAGGGGCGCGAGGUAACUCUCUCUAAGGAACUCGGCAAAAUGGCCCCGUAACUUCGGGAGAAGGGGUGCCACCGCAAGGUGGUCGCAGUGAAGAGGCCCAGGCGACUGUUUACCAAAUACACAGGUCUCCGCUAAGUCGCAAGACGAUGUAUGGGGGCUGACGCCUGCCCAGUGCCGGAAGGUUAAGGAAGCUGGUCAGCGCAAGCGAAGCUAGCGACUGAAGCCCCGGUGAACGGCGGCCGUAACAAUAACGGUCCUAAGGUAGCGAAAUUCCUUGUCGGGUAAGUUCCGACCCGCACGAAAGGCGUAACGAUCUGGGCGCUGUCUCGGAGAGAGGCUCGGCGAAAUAGAAUUGUCUGUGAAGAUGCGGACUACGUGCACCCGGACAAAAAGACCCUAUGAAGCUUUACUGUAGCUUGGUAUUGUGCCCGGGCCCGCAAUGCGCAGGAUAGGUGGGAGGCUUUGAUCAUCGGCUUGCGGGUCGAUGUGAGCCAACGGUGAGAUACCACUCUUUGCGAGCUAGGGUUCUAACGGCCACCCGUCAUCCGGGGGCCGGACAGUACCUGGUGGGCAGUUUGACUGGGGCGGUCGCCUCCUAAAAGGUAACGGAGGCGCGCAAAGGUUUGCUCAGGCUGGUUGGAAAUCAGCCGACGAGUGUAAAAGCAGAAGCAAGCUUGACUGUGAGACCAACAAGUCGAACAGGGAGGAAACUCGGCUUUAGUGAUCCGACGGUUCUGAGUGGAAGGGCCGUCGCUCAACGGAUAAAAGUUACUCUAAGGAUAACAGGCUGAUCUCCCCCAAGAGUUCACAUCGACGGGGAGGUUUGGCACCUCGAUGUCGGCUCAUCGCAACCUGGGGCUGAAGUCGGUCCCAAGGGUUGGGCUGUUCGCCCAUUAAGGCGGUACGCGAGCUGGGUUCAGAACGUCGUGAGACAGUUCGGUCCAUAUCCGGUGCACGCGCAGGAAUAUUGAGAGGAUUUCUCCCUAGUACGAGAGGACCGGGAGGAACGCACCUCUGGUGUACCGGUUAUCGUGCCAACGGUAAACGCUGGGUAGCCAUGUGCGGAGUGGAUAACCGCUGAAAGCAUCUAAGUGGGAAGCCCACCUCAAGAUGAGUAUUCCCAUGGCGUAAGCCAGUAAGGUCACGGGAAGAACACCCGUUGAUAGGCUCUAUGUGGAAGCGCAGUAAUGCGUGAAGCAGAGGAGUACUAAUAGACCGAGGGCUUGACC